AAUGCCUAGGAAUCUGCCUGGUAGUGGGGGACAACGUUUCGAAAGGAACGCUAAUACCGCAUACGUCCUACGGGAGAAAGCAGGGACCUUCGGGCAUUGCGCUAUCAGAUGAGCCUAGGUCGGAUUAGCUAGUUGGUGAGGUAAUGGCUCACCAAGGCGACGAUCCGUAACUGGUCUGAGAGGAUGAUCAGUCACACUGGAACUGAGACACGGUCCAG
This 218-nucleotide ribosomal RNA is filed under the name uncultured Pseudomonadales bacterium. RNAcentral's name for it is "partial 16S ribosomal RNA". It matches the Rfam family "Bacterial small subunit ribosomal RNA", at positions 112 to 334 of the family's 1533-position model. Lineage: Bacteria; Pseudomonadati; Pseudomonadota; Gammaproteobacteria; Pseudomonadales. The record is from RNAcentral.